Molecule: ribosomal RNA, 494 nt
Filed under: uncultured bacterium
Lineage: Bacteria
Description: partial 16S ribosomal RNA
Rfam family: Bacterial small subunit ribosomal RNA
Source: RNAcentral
GACGAACGCUGGCGGCGUGCUUAACACAUGCAAGUCGAACGGAAAGGCCUGCUUUCCCUUGUGGAUUGCGGGUACUCGAGUGGCGAACGGGUGAGUAACACGUGAGUGAUCUGCCCCCAACUUGGGUAUAAGCCUGGGAAACUGGGUCUAAUUCCCGAUAGGACUGCAGGGUGGUGCCUGUGGUGGAAAACGGUUUUCUAGUGGUUGGGGAUGAGCUCGCGGCCUAUCAGCUUGUUGGUGGGGUAAUGGCCUACCAAGGCGGCGACGGGUAGCCGGCCUGAGAGGGGGGACGGCCACAUUGGGACUGAGAUACGGCCCAGACUCCUACGGGAGGCAGCAGUGGGGAAUAUUGCACAAUGGGCGGAAGCCUGAUGCAGCGACGCCGCGUGGGGGAUGACGGCCUUCGGGUUGUAAACUCCUUUCGACCGCGAGGAAGCCACCUGGUUGGAAGGGUGGUGACGGUAGUGGUAGAAGAAGCACCGGCUAACUACGUG